Molecule: ribosomal RNA, 1932 nt
Filed under: Triticum aestivum (bread wheat)
Lineage: Eukaryota; Viridiplantae; Streptophyta; Magnoliopsida; Poales; Poaceae
Description: partial small subunit ribosomal RNA
Source: RNAcentral
AUGACGCUCCCACAACUGAAGAAGCUCGACGACAGGAGCACCCCUAUGGUGUUCAUGGGCUACGAGACGGGCUCUAAGGCGUACAAGAUGUACGACCCCGUCUCAAAGCGUGUGCAUGUCUCGCGCGACGUCAUCUUCGACGAAGAUGCGCGAUGGACUUGGGAGGCGUCGGGGGAGGCCCCGGCAAGCAGCUCCUUCACUGUGGAGUACCUGAUGUACUCUACAACCCCGGGAAGCCCGGGAGGUGUGGAUCCGGGAACCACAACCCCGAGAACACCGUCCCUGGGUACGGUGUCCCCGGACACCCCGACGUCAAGCAAGGUGUGUCCCAGGAGGCAGUUCGCAACCCCGCCAACGGCGAGGUCGGAGCUGUUCGACGCCGACGACAGCGUUGGUGCCCCCCACAGGUUUCGGCGCAUGGGGGAUCUCCUCGGCGAGGCUGCGGCAACACCACAACAGCCCGAGGAAGAGGACGUUGAUGACGACGACGUCUUGCAUCUGAUGGCCGGCGAGGAGCCGACCACAUUCGCGGAGGCCGAGCAAGAGGAUUGCUGGCGCCACGCGAUGCUGGACGAGCUGGCGUCAAUCAACGACAACGCCACUCGGACACUCACCACACUGCCUACUGGGCACCGAGCCAUCCGGCUCAAGUGGGUGUUCAAGGUCAAGAAUGACGAGAACGGCGCCAUUGUCAAGCACAAGGCACGCCUUGUCGCAAAGGGCUACGUGCAGCGUGAGGGAGUGGACUUCGAGGAAGUCUUUGCUCCGGUGGCAAGGCUGGAGUCCGUGCGGCUCAUCCUUGCCGUGGCUGCUCACCGUGGGUGGGAGGUACACCACAUGGACGUCAAGUCGGCGAUUCUCAACGGCGACCUUAACAAGGAGGUGUACGUCUCCCAGCCUCCAGGGUUCGUUGCCAAGAGCCAUGAGCAGGGCGUGUACGGGCUACACAAGGCCCUGUACGGUCUCCGGCAAGCCCCAAGGGCGUGGAACACCAAGCUCGAUGCAAGCCUCGCAUCCCUUGGGUUCUCACGCAGCGCUUCUGAGCAUGGCGUGUACUCGCGUGGCACCGCGAACACGCUGCUCAUCGUCGGCAUCUACGUCGAAGACCUGGUCAUCGUCGGGGCAGAGCCCGAAGAGGUUCGACGCUUCAAGGGAGAGAUGCAUCAUCUCUUCAGCAUGAGCGACCUCAGGCUGCUCCAGUACUACCUCGGUCUAGAGGUGAACCAGGAGGGUGGUCGCAUCACGAUCACGCAAGCGGCCUACGCCGCCAAGAUGCUCGAGCGGGCAGGCAUGAAGGACUGCCAUGCCGUGCAUGCUCCAAUGGAGGCACGACUAAAGCUUAGCAAGGAUAGCUCCGAGAAGGCGGUGGAUGCUACGCUCUACCGCGGCAUCAUCGGGAGCCUCAGGUAUCUCGUGCACACCCGACCGGACAUUACGUUCGUUGUCGGGUACCCGAGUAGGUUCAUGGAAGCCCCGGCAAGCGAUCACCUCGCUGCUGUCAAGCACCUGCUCCGGUACAUCGCGGGUACGCUCACACAUGGAUGCGUGUAUCGUCGUGGCGACGGCGAGAGCUUGGUCGGAUACAGCGACUCUGACCAUGCUGGUGACGUGGACUCCCGGAAGAGCACCUCGGGCAUACUUUUCCUUCUCAGGAAUAGUCCCGUCAGCUGGCAACCGGUGAGGCAGAAGGUUGUCGCCGCAUCUUCGUGCGAGGCGGAGUACAUCGCGGCAGCUACAUCGGCCUGUCAAGGCAUUUGGCUUGCUUGCCUUCUCGGUGAGAUGCUGAAUCAGGACACCGCCCCUGCGCUCAUUGAAAGAACAUGCGGUGCCCCCAUGUUUGGUUUUGGAGUUUAUGAGUUGACCAAGGUGCUAUUAAGGAAUUAUCCAAAGAUUGAUCAUGCGAGUGUUGAGCUUAUUGCAAGCAUGUCUUGA